CUCAGAGUGAACGCUGGCGGUAGGCCUAACACAUGCAAGUCGAACGGCAGCACAGUAAGAGCUUGCUCUUAUGGGUGGCGAGUGGCGGACGGGUGAGGAAUACAUCGGAAUCUACCUUUUCGUGGGGGAUAACGUAGGGAAACUUACGCUAAUACCGCAUACGACCUUCGGGUGAAAGCAGGGGACCUUCGGGCCUUGCGCGGAUAGAUGAGCCGAUGUCGGAUUAGCUAGUUGGCGGGGUAAAGGCCCACCAAGGCGACGAUCCGUAGCUGGUCUGAGAGGAUGAUCAGCCACACUGGAACUGAGACACGGUCCAGACUCCUACGGGAGGCAGCAGUGGGGAAUAUUGGACAAUGGGCGCAAGCCUGAUCCAGCCAUACCGCGUGGGUGAAGAAGGCCUUCGGGUUGUAAAGCCCUUUUGUGGGAAAGAAAAGCAGUCGGCUAAUACCCGGUGUCUGACGGUACCCAAAGAAUAAGCACCGGCUAACUUCGUGCCAG
RNAcentral lists this ribosomal RNA (498 nucleotides) under Stenotrophomonas sp. Its description in RNAcentral is "bacterial SSU rRNA". It matches the Rfam family "Bacterial small subunit ribosomal RNA", at positions 23 to 511 of the family's 1533-position model. Lineage: Bacteria; Pseudomonadati; Pseudomonadota; Gammaproteobacteria; Lysobacterales; Lysobacteraceae. The record is from RNAcentral.